ACCACAAAGAGCAUGGGAUUCUUGGAGUGAGAGUGAACACAGCUUCUGCUGCUGGAGGCCGUAGGUAAUAUUUACUAAGGUAAUGCUGGACUCUCUUUCUGCCAAAUGACUACAUCAGAUCUCUAACAUAUACUCCACCUUUCAAGGUAGAACAAGUGGAGCAAGAGGAAAAAAAUGCUGAAAAGUCAAGAAUAGUGAACUGUCGCAAGAAGCAGUUGUUAGUAAAAUGAUUAUAACUUGAGUUGCAGACCGCGAACCACAGUGAUUCAAGUUGGGUUGGAAAGAUAAUGCAUGUAUCUACAACUUUCAUGUUUCGCAAGAAGUCAAAUUCGUAUAACAAGGCAGCCAAAAUUACCGUGCAAGACACUUGUUACCUGCCGGAUACAACUUUUCUACCUGUGAAGCAGCAUUAAUUGUUUUUGUCAUAUUUGGAGUUAUAGAGAUCCAAUAAACCUGAUAUUUGCAUUAAUGGAAAGAUAACUCAAGUGGCAAUAAUUUAUCUGUUGAUCAUAAGUCCAAAUUCGUUGCACCAAAGUAUCUGAAAAUUGACACCAAUUUGCAUAUUUCAGCUGUCUUGACUUACAUUUUGGAUGUUCCGAAGGCCUAUAAAAGAGGACCUUGGCUAAGAUUUUGAGAGAAUCAAUUCCUCUUCAUCAUAUUCUAGUUUAUUUUAUUUUCUUUGUAACAUUUUUCUUUAUCAUUAGCUCUAGCUAGGGGUGAAACUUUGGUGUAUUGUCUUUGAUCUUUCACUUUGUUCUUCAAUGUUCAUCUUUUUACUUGGUUGAAGUAUAUGUUCUACAAAUGGUUUUGAUUUGUUAAAGACUUUGAUUUAUUGUUGACAAAUUUUAGCACAAUAAAAUGCUUAGAGAAUCUCUAUAUAUCAACAACUUAUUUUGAUAUAUUCUCUCAAAUAAUUAUCAAGAUUUAUCUUUUAGUAUACUUGCAAUCAAUGUUUUAUCUUCAAUAUGAUCACUUCCAUAUAAGUUAAGUAAAAGAUCAAGAGUAAUUUCUACUCAUUUAUCUGAAAUGAAUCCCCGACGCUCUAGUGUUCGUCUCCAUUGUAGCACUUAUAGAAUAGUUUAUUUUCUUCCAAUUCCCUUUGGUUCGACCUCGGACUUCGACUAUUUCUGUGGAGUUCAGUAAUCUUCUUUUUCAGUGAGAAAUUAAAUGACUGAGCAGAAUUUCAGAAGAACACAAAAAAUAAAUGCAACCAAGAAGAGCAGGAGCUACUUAUUUGGUAUUAUAGACAACAUAAUUCCCAGUUUUCAUCGAUAUCUCUACUUAAUAAAUAUUGCCAGAGCAGAGAUCAAACAGUACAAAAGUAGGAAUUUGGAUCAAAAAACACAUUUUUUACGAAAAAUAUAGGUAAUCAAACGCACUCUAAAUGCAGAUUUACCUUUAAAGUACUUCUAAUCCAUGGACGGAAAUGCUUUUGCACAUGAAUAUCUAAACAUACAGUAGUAGUAAUAGGUAAUUUUAUUAUCCAAAUUUAGUGCAGCUCUGCCCCAGAUUGGGAAACCGGCUUUGGGGAUGUGUAAGAAGUCAAGUGACUAUUAAUUAAUCACUUCUGUGGCUAUCCAUGCACGCUCAUGUUUUGAGGUUAUGUUAGGCUCUCUUACAACCCGCUGAUAACAUUGAUUAACUUUCUGGUAGCUAUUAACUGUUCACAUCCACUCAGUGAAGCGUCGUGGCAGCUGGAUUCCAUCUCUAAGUUGCAUUAAUUCAUAUAUGGUGGUGCCUGCAUUAGAUAAAUACUAACUGCAUAGGAGGCUUGAAUGCUUUUUGUAUUUAUUAUUAUUGCACUAACCCUCAGUGGAAUUUAUAUUUUCUUUUUCUACAAUUUUCUUUUUUCACCUUGGUUAAUCCCCCUCUCCUCGCGUUAUAUCUAAGUACACGAGCCAUGCUAAUCAUUGGCGGAUCCACAUUGGGUCCUAGUGGGUCUACCCACUAGCUUUAGAGGUUUUUAUUAUUAUUAUUAUUAUUAUU
Molecule: long non-coding RNA, 1986 nt
Organism: Olea europaea var. sylvestris
Lineage: Eukaryota; Viridiplantae; Streptophyta; Magnoliopsida; Lamiales; Oleaceae
Exons: 3
Source: RefSeq, a predicted model, not a curated record